GAUGAACGCUGGCGGCGUGCCUAAUACAUGCAAGUCGAGCGAAUGGAUUAAGAGCUUGCUCUUAUGAAGUUAGCGGCGGACGGGUGAGUAACACGUGGGUAACCUGCCCAUAAGACUGGGAUAACUCCGGGAAACCGGGGCUAAUACCGGAUAACAUUUUGAACCGCAUGGUUCGAAAUUGAAAGGCGGCUUCGGCUGUCACUUAUGGACGGAUCCGCGUCGCAUUAGCUAGUUGGUGAGGUAACGGCUCACCAAGGCAACGAUGCGUAGCCGACCUGAGAGGGUGAUCGGCCACACUGGGGCUGAGACACGGCCCAGACUCCUACGGGAGGCAGCAGUAGGGAAUCUUCCGCAAUGGACGAAAGUCUGACGGAGCAACGCCGCGUGAGUGAUGAAGGCUUUCGGGUCGUAAAACUCUGUUGUUAGGGAAGAACAAGUGCUAGUUGAAUAAGCUGACACCUUGACGGUACCUAACCAGAAAGCCACGGCUAACUACGUGCCAGCAGCCGCGGUAA
RNAcentral lists this ribosomal RNA (515 nucleotides) under uncultured bacterium. RNAcentral describes it as "partial 16S ribosomal RNA". It matches the Rfam family "Bacterial small subunit ribosomal RNA", at positions 28 to 523 of the family's 1533-position model. The record is from RNAcentral.